Molecule: non-coding RNA, 443 nt
Organism: Pelobates cultripes (western spadefoot toad)
Lineage: Eukaryota; Metazoa; Chordata; Amphibia; Anura; Pelobatidae
Source: the annotation of a GenBank genome assembly
GUUAAAAGAGGUAUGCUAUUUGACACCUUGAUCAGAGAAAAAAUAAAUAAAUCCAAGUGGGCUUCAUCCAAGAGACCCACUGGAUUGCUGAUUCAAAGCAAAAAUGGUAUUUUUAAAAAUACCCAAAAAUCUAUGAGGCUUCUGUGCAAAAGAAAAUGAAAUGUGGUGUAUCAUCUUUUCUAAAGAGGUUCAAUUUGACUGUCAGUAUGUGAAUCUAGAUUCUGAAGGCAGAUUUAUUAUUUUAGUUGGCCUUUUAGAUGGAGUAGAUUAUACAUUAGUAAACGUCUAUUUACCCAAUAAAAAUCCAUUGUAUACUUUAUCCCAUAAAGGAUAAGCAAGUUUGCCCCGGUCAAGCGAUUGAUCAAAACGUAAUAAGACAAGCAGCAUCGAUGAACAUAACCAUUAAAAAAUUUUGAAUUAUACGACUGCUGGAGAUUUAAUCC